GACGAACGCUGGCGGCGUGCCUAAUACAUGCAAGUCGAGCGAAGUUUUUCUGGUGCUUGCACCGGAAAAACUUAGCGGCGAACGGGUGAGUAACACGUAAAGAACCUGCCUCAUAGACUGGGACAACUAUUGGAAACGAUAGCUAAUACCGGAUAACAGCAUUAGCUGCAUGGUUGAUGUUUAAAAGUUGGUUUUGCUAACACUAUGAGAUGGCUUUGCGGUGCAUUAGCUAGUUGGUGGGGUAAAGGCCUACCAAGGCGACGAUGCAUAGCCGACCUGAGAGGGUGAUCGGCCACACUGGGACUGAGACACGGCCCAGACUCCUACGGGAGGCAGCAGUAGGGAAUCUUCCGCAAUGGGCGAAAGCCUGACGGAGCAACGCCGCGUGAGUGAAGAAGGAUUUCGGUUCGUAAAGCUCUGUUGUUAGGGAAGAAUGAUUGUGUAGUAACUAUACACAGUAGAGACGGUACCUAACCAGAAAGCCACGGCUAACUACGUG
RNAcentral lists this ribosomal RNA (499 nucleotides) under uncultured bacterium. Its description in RNAcentral is "partial 16S ribosomal RNA". It matches the Rfam family "Bacterial small subunit ribosomal RNA", at positions 28 to 507 of the family's 1533-position model. The record is from RNAcentral.